Long non-coding RNA from Rosa chinensis, 674 nucleotides. RefSeq lists it as uncharacterized. The record is from RefSeq and is a predicted model, not a curated record. The transcript is spliced from 4 exons. NCBI's taxonomy places the organism in Eukaryota, Viridiplantae, Streptophyta, Magnoliopsida, Rosales, Rosaceae.
UUCAGCUUUCUCUCUCUACGUCUCUCCCAAAAUAGCCCCGCCGCAGGCCAUUGGAACCCCAUUCUUCACCAAAAUUUCCAGAUUUUCUUCUCUUCAUCCCCUCUUUCCAUUUCUCCAACCAAAAUCAAGAAAUUUGGCCAUUUAAUCCUCCAAAACCCCUAGAACCCGAAGCCAAUUUCGGGGUUUUUGUGAUUUCUUCUUUCCAAGUUCAAAUCAAGAGGCUAGGUUACGGGUUUGGCAAGGAUUUGUGGUGAAGAAGGCCAAGGAGGAGGAUUAGGCCAUGAGUUUUGAAGAAGAAAGGGAAACACGAUCGUUAAUGAAGCUUAAGCGGAAAGCAUCAGAGUGUGGAAUACGCCGGCAUUUUCCAGGUAAGGUUACAACGAGGUCAUUCCGGACGAUUUGGAUUAGAAGUGGGUCGUUGGCCGAGUCCGUGUGUUGCUUAAAGUUCUUCCCUGUUGGUACUUUAUCGAUUUACUCGCUUCUCUUUCAAUGUUGAACUCUGUGAGGUCCGCCUACCUAGGAGCGCGCCUCACCCCUUUGUUUUAUUGUUAUUGUUGAACUCCUUUCAUUUCGGUUAUGAUGUAAGCCUUAAGGCGUCACAGUGCACUUGCCCACUUUAUUUUGAAGCAUUUCCAGACUUGUUAAUUUGAAUGUUGGGUUGUUGAUUUAAAGUC